Molecule: ribosomal RNA, 203 nt
Filed under: uncultured bacterium
Lineage: Bacteria
Description: partial 16S ribosomal RNA
Rfam family: Bacterial small subunit ribosomal RNA
Source: RNAcentral
UGCGUAGGUGGUCGGGUAAGUCUGAUGUGAAAUCCCGCAGCUCAACUGCGGAAUGGCAUUGGAUACUAUUUGGCUAGAGGGUUGGAGGGGGGACUGGAAUUCUCGGUGUAGCAGUGAAAUGCGUAGAUAUCGAGAGGAACACCAGUGGCGAAGGCGAGUCCCUGGACAACUCCUGACGCUGAGGCAAGACUAGGGGAGCAACA